Ictalurus punctatus (channel catfish) is the source of this 500-nucleotide long non-coding RNA. The record is from Ensembl. NCBI's taxonomy places the organism in Eukaryota, Metazoa, Chordata, Actinopteri, Siluriformes, Ictaluridae.
GUUUAUAUUUUCUCUAUGUAUGUUUAUAUUUUCUCUAUGCAUGUUUGUUUUCUCUAUGCAUGUUUAUGUUUUCUCUAUGCAUGUUUAUGUUUUCUCUAUGCAUGUUUAUAUUUCUCUCUAUGUAUGUUUAUGUUUUCUCUAUGCAUGUUUAUGUUUUCUCUAUGCAUGUUUAUAUUUUCUCUAUGCAUGUUUAUGUUUUCUCUAUGCAUGUUUAUGUUUUCUCUAUGCAUGUUUAUAUUUUCUCUAUGCAUGUUUGUUUUCUCUAUGCAUGUUUAUAUUUUCUCUAUGCAUGUUUAUAUUUUCUCUAUGCAUGUUAAUUUUAUAUAUGCAUGUUUAUGGUUUCUCUAUACCUGUUUAUAUUUUCUCUAUGCAUGUUUGUUUUCUCUAUGCAUGUUUAUAUUUUCUCUAUGCAUGUUUAUAUUUUCUCGAUGCAUGUUUAUAUUUUCUCUAUGCAUGUUUAUGUUUUCUCUAUGCAUGUUUAUGUUUUCUCUAUGCAUGUU